This 506-nucleotide ribosomal RNA is filed under the name uncultured bacterium. Its description in RNAcentral is "partial 16S ribosomal RNA". It matches the Rfam family "Bacterial small subunit ribosomal RNA", at positions 29 to 523 of the family's 1533-position model. The record is from RNAcentral.
AGUGAACGCUGGCGGUAGGCCUAACACAUGCAAGUCGAAUGGCAGCACAGGAGAGCUUGCUCUCUGGGUGGCGAGUGACGGACGGGUGAGGAAUACAUCGGAAUCUACUCUGUCGUGGGGGAUAACGUAGGGAAACUUACGCUAAUACCGCAUACGACCUACGGGUGAAAGCAGGGGACCUUCGGGUCUUGCGCGAUUGAAUGAGCCGAUGUCGGAUUAGCUAGUUGGCGGGGUAAAGGCCCACCAAGGCGACGAUCCGUAGCUGGUCUGAGAGGAUGAUCAGCCACACUGGAACUGAGGCACGGUCCAGACUCCUACGGGAGGCAGCAGUGGGGAAUAUUGGACAAUGGGCGCAAGCCUGAUCCAGCCAUACCGCGUGGGUGAAGAAGGCCUUCGGGUUGUAAAGCCCUUUUGUUGGGAAAGAAAUCCAGCUGGCUAAUACCCGGUUGGGAUGACGGUACCCAAAGAAUAAGCACCGGCUAACUUCGUGCCAGCAGCCGCGGUAA